UUGGAUGGAAAUGAAUAUCUUCUGCUAAUGUUAUGAUUUUAGCAUCAGUUGUUACUCUAUUAGAUAAAACUUCCUGUUUUGAGCUGAAUCACGGCUUAAAAGUUGAAUUCAUUGAUGACAGCACAGUAUUUGCUGUCAGGUCUCUCCGCGGCGAGUCCAUCUAUUCUCCCCUCUUCCCACAGGAGGAUGGACAAAAAGGCUGCACUUGGGGUUUUCCGCUGAUCCCCAACUUGUUUGGAGAAACCCCAACUCGACUCGCCCUCGCCUCUCCUCCGUUCCGUGCCUCAACCCUCGCUUCUCCUCGACCUCCGGCGACGAUCACCGGCGGCCGCCAACCUCUCCGACAGGUUUUGAGAGCAGCAGUGCCUGAAAUUGUACCGAAACAUGAGAAAGAGAUAGCAUCUUUGUUAAAAAGCUACAAAAGACUUGUAUUCUAAGUGGCUAUUUGAGCUGAGGUGCGGCUUUGGCCUCUUAAUGUAUGGUUUUGUUUUCUAAGAAGAUUUUGCUUCAUCGGCAUUAACAGAGUUUGGAGCAGUUGUAAUCAAUGGCUAUCUUCCAUCGGUCAACAUAAAACAAGUAUUGUCCUCUACCGGUGCAUAUGCUAAUAAUUCAUGGAUUUUUGCGAUCCAAUAUCUUAUAAUUUUUAUGUUUUUUUUUUCCUCUGGUGAAUUAGGUGGAAGACAUAAUUUAUCUUCUCAUAAACCUCAAACUCAAUCCCUCCGCUGAAACCCUUAGAUUUCUCCAAGGAUUCAUGGUUAUAAUUGUGAAAUAUUUACUCUUUUUCCUAAAAUAAUUCAUAUAUGUCAAUCUAUGAAGUAGUAUUGGUGCAGGACCUAACUUAAGAAGACAACUUUAUAUGACUUAGGAUGAUAAUUACUUUUAUUCCUGCAGCUGAUUUGGUUUGAAUUGUCUUAUGUUCUGCAACCACCUCCAUCAGUAAACAUAUUGGAACUUCUCUGAUGCAAACAAUGUCAUAUGUUUGGAUAUUUUGUUUGGAAGGCAUAACCCUAAAGCUAGUUACUCAUUCAAGUGUCUAAUAAGCAUGGGUUUUCAUAUAUGAGUUGUCAAAGGUUCCAUUCAGAUUUUCAAUAUAGUAAAUAAAGAUGGUUCUCCCUCAUAUACAAGUUCCUCCUUCAUAAUUUUCUCUGUAUUCUCACUGUGCAUUGUUCCGCAAAUGUUCCCUUAUUGAUAUGUCCAUUUGAUAAGCAUCCAUGGAUAUGUUUCUAUGAUGCAGUUGUUUCACAUAAUGAACUAUAUAAUUCAUCUUAAAAAAAACAGUGAACUGUAUAAUUGGAUUUGACAGAAUGGUACAGAGCAAUUGUUAUUGGUAGUCUUGAAUAGAAAUGUUUAGUUAGGCAUCAUAACCAUUUUUCUUUACUUAGGUAAGUCUGAGCAUUUUACGCACUUUCAUGUUCAGCCGAUUUAUAGACUUAAAUUUUAUAUUUAUUGGUUACUUAUCCAUUGUGCGUUUAUGUCUUGCUUCAGCAAUUUGGACUUUAGUCUGUGGAAGUGCUUAUUUCACUUGGAUUACAAUGGAAAUUCAAAAGCAUUAAGCAUUAUAGAAAAGUUGAUAAGUAUGGAUUCAGUCUCACUUUUGCCUUAGUUAUCAUGGCUUACCUGUGAUGCAUCUUUGCUGCAAUAUUAUGAAUAUUCUCAUUCUUUAAGAGCAGAAAUAUACUUCAUUUUUCCAUGAAUCAUAUCUUGACAGAAUACAAGUGAAUUUUAUUACAUUGGAAGCUCCCGGGGAAUGUGGUGGUGUAUGGGGAGGGGUUGGAUGAGUCAAAUGAGAUCUGUUAUAUUUCAUUGUUGUAUGCAAAGGUUCUUUCCUUGAAAAUAAGCUGUGAGAGCGCUAUUGGCUGCCUACUCUUGACCUGCAUGCUAAACCCAAUAGUUCUAGUUCAGCUCAGUACCUUAAAAUUAAGGUUGUGAUUACUGUAGCUGAAGUUCUAUGGGACCAAUUAAAAACCAAACAAAAGUGCUUCCUUUUUCUUAUUACGGAGCUCUUUACUGGCUCUCUUUUUCUUUAGUUCUAAUUGUGAGGACUCUUUCAUUAUUUAUACAACUACUUAUUUCUGUCCGGGACCUCACUCUCUUGUUUCAUCCGACUUUCAUCAAGUGAUGCACUUAUGAAAUCUGGGAUAAAUUCGCUUAUUGAGCUGUCUGCUUCCAACUACUAUUCAUUGCACCACUGCUCGUGCUGCUCGUAUUAGUGGAUAUGAGACUUCAAUCUAGUUCAGGAGAAGAAAGAGCUGGAUUUAUGGAAUUGAGUAUUCUGUAGCUUUACAUCGGGAUCCUAUCCUGGCUAGCGAUGCGGCGAAAGAAGCAGAGGCAACUAUUGAAUAGGUUUGUCGAGUAAUAGCACAAGUUCCCGUAGACUCGUACAAGCCAGUAUCUUGAUAGAAUUGGGGAGCAACUAGGGCGGGGCAGUAGGUAGGCCUAGGAAGAGGAAACAACACACUAAUGGAACUGUCAAAUCAAUUCCCUAUGCCGAAUACCACAACCCCGGGAAAGCGAGAUAUCCACGUGUGUCCCCAUCGUAGGGGCAGGCCCAAGCUGUCCAUAGGAGAAUCUUUAGUCGCAAGGCAAUGGGCAGCAACUGUCGCCUUCAGACUAGCAACUUUAGCCUUCCUGUUUUAGAGCAGUUGCUUCUCUUUCUUUUGAAUAUGUUUAAUAGUCUUAAGCUGUAAACAAGAGGAGCAAGCAUUAGUUAUCCAAAGGCGUAUGUUUGUGGCUUUCCCUAUUGACUUUCUGGCUAGCAAGUACGUAAUUUUAUUGAUUCUCUUACUAGAUAGACUACUAGCUUCAGUAUACCUCUGGCUGAUGAGUUGAUUGAAACCUUGACUUUAGUGAAGUGAGUUUCUCUUUUUGUUAGCUGAAUUCAAGAUGAACCUUCUUCAUCUAAUGGUGUAUUAAUGUUGCUUUCCUAACUAGCUAGCUGCUUAAAGUCUUAAAUCUCUAAGAGCUGUAUCCUCAGCUUGACAGAGCCCUAGUAAAUAUCCCAAAAAAAGCUUGUGUACAAUUUUUUGAAUAGCCUUUGUCCCAUACUUCGCCUAGUAAUGCUAGAGUUGAAAAAAUUGCUUUAACCUAGUGAUAUAGAAUACCCUGCUUUAAUCUCUAACUUUGCCUCUCAUUAAAGAAAAGUAGUAGCCAUUUUCUAAUGGAGCAUACGACUGCUUCUCUUCUUGCUUUGCUAGUGUUGAUAGUUUAUUCCAACUGGUUUAAGGUACUUUUUUUUGGAUAAAAGUCCUCUACUUUCUGCCUUCCAACUUUAGAGCAGUUGCUUCUCUCUAGCUGUCGUACUACUCGACUAGUUGCAUCCCUUCUUAGUAUACCAUAUCCUUUUGCUCUGUAUCCUACGGGUUGAUAUAAGUAUCUGCAUGCAAUACCAGAGCCUACGACAUUGAUGACAAAGCAAGCUAGAGCAGAGCGGAGCCAGUCCUAGCUCCUUAGAGUCUUAUAGGCUCAGACGCCACUUGAGGACCAUUGCCAUCGUCCUCAACCAAAGAAGUGAAUUGUAGGAGACUACUGGUUACUUGACCUCCAACACCAAGAGGUAAUGGUGCUGAGCAAAGCCUACCCUAGCCUUGGAAGUUGCGAACCUCCAUGAAGAAAAGAGACAUAAGCAAGACUGCCAGUUCCAUAAGGAUCAUAGAUACGAUACAGAUGAGUGCCUUCAGCUGAAAGAUGAAAUUGAAGCACUUGUUCAGUAAGAAUACCUUGAUCGUUACACUAAUGACCACAAGAAUCCUAAUCCAGAUGGGUGAACCCCUAAGAGAUAGGAUGUUAAUUAGCCCCUCGCUAGGGUAAUAAUCACUAUCUUCUAAAGGUCCACAACUGGGAUCUUAGGCCUCCCGACCUUGAAAAAUUGAUGAUUGAGCUUGAAGCAUAGGAAGAAAGCAUCCAUGCCUAACGUGCAAGCUUGAAAAAUUUGAGCUUUGGUGAUGGCAAGAUGUGGCAUCAAUAAUAUUUAAAUUUUUAAAUCUCUAUACUUUUUGAAAAAUAACCAUGAACAGAUUAUGUUUCAAAAUUCCUCCCCCCAAGGGCAAAGAUGCUAUAGGUUGCACUAAUCUAAAGGAACUGUCAAUCUUGAAAAAGUUUGUAUCUGAAAAUCGUAGCAUAACCUAGGAGGCACACUCGAAUUGAUCACCCAAAGUGUAUUUUAACUCAAGGCCUGUUGGCCUCCAUAAUGCAAGCAAGUCUGUUGACCCUUAUACUUGCCCUUGUGAACUCUCAAGACUUGCCGGCUCCUGAGGCUCGAGCAGGCUUAUUGGCUCUUAUACUUGUCCUUGUGUAUUCUCAAGUUUCUUUGGCCCUUAAAGUGCAAGCAGUCCGCUGGCCCUUAUACUCGACCUCGUGUGUUCUUAAGGUCCGUUGGCCCUCGAGGUGCUAGCAGAUCAGUGUUGGAAAUCAAGAGGGUUUACACUCACAAAUUACUCUAUGGAAGAAAAGUGGAGAGGUUUUUAGGCACACAUGAAUAACUUAUAUUCCAUUAACUUCAAAAACAACUAGAGUCCAUGGAUAUUUAUAGGCACCAUUAGAUGGUCUUUUAACCUCCCUAAUUGAAUUGGUUAUUACACCAUACAUAACUCCAAAUAAAUUUUAAAUAACUUCCUCUAAAUAAAUCUCUUAUAACUCCAUGUAACUCUCACAUGACUAAAAACUCAAAAGAUAUGUAAGUCCUCACCAUAAUAAUAUGCAAUUAUAAAAAAUAAAACCAUAAGUUACUAAUAUUAAAAAACAAGUUUAGUAACUAAUACCCCUCCUUAAACUUGGUUUUGCAACUCAAAGCAAACUCUUUAACUUGUAAAAAGUUUCACUCUUGAGGGGCUUAGUGAAAAUAUUGGCAAUUUGAUCUUCAGACUUCAUGUACUUGAGCUUUACUUUCUUUUUAACCAUACAUUUUCUAAUGAGAUGAUACUUUAUAUCGAUAUGCU
Phoenix dactylifera (date palm) is the source of this 4934-nucleotide non-coding RNA. Lineage: Eukaryota; Viridiplantae; Streptophyta; Magnoliopsida; Arecales; Arecaceae. The record is from RefSeq and is a predicted model, not a curated record.